Molecule: ribosomal RNA, 253 nt
Filed under: uncultured bacterium
Lineage: Bacteria
Description: partial 16S ribosomal RNA
Rfam family: Bacterial small subunit ribosomal RNA
Source: RNAcentral
UACGUAGGGUGCGAGCGUUGUCCGGAAUUACUGGGCGUAAAGAGCUCGUAGGUGGUUUGUCGCGUUGUUCGUGAAAACCUGAGGCUUAACCUUGGGCGUGCGGGCGAUACGGGCAGACUGGAGUACUGCAGGGGAGACUGGAAUUCCUGGUGUAGCGGUGGAAUGCGCAGAUAUCAGGAGGAACACCUGUGGCGAAGGCGGGACUCUGGGCCGAUACUGACGCUGAGGAGCGAAAGCGUGGGGAGCAAACAGG